GCCAGGCCGACUGAGGGGCGCCGGCGGCGCCGCCACGGCGGCGUCGCCCGUCCCACCCGGGGGUUGCCUCGGGCUGUAAUGCCAUGUCCUUUUCUGCCGGAUCGGUGACGGUCCGGCAGCUUUUGCACUGGCGUGACCGCAGGAUUACAGCGCUCGUCACGCGCAACUUGUUAAAAUUCGGAUAAUCUCACCGGAUUAGACAGCCGGUUCAGCGUCUGUCUGCAUUGUUCCCCCAGACUUCGCAUAUGACCCAGCAACGCACCCUCAAGAACACCAUUCGCGCCACCGGCGUCGGCCUCCACAGCGGCGACAAGGUCU
This 318-nucleotide small RNA is filed under the name Xanthomonas arboricola. RNAcentral describes it as "sRNA Xoo8". It matches the Rfam family "Proteobacterial sRNA Xoo8". Lineage: Bacteria; Pseudomonadati; Pseudomonadota; Gammaproteobacteria; Lysobacterales; Lysobacteraceae. The record is from RNAcentral.